UAAUACAUGCAAGUCGUACGCUUCUUUUUCCACCGGAGCUUGCUCCACCGGAAAAAGAAGAGUGGCGAACGGGUGAGUAACACGUGGGUAACCUGCCCAUCAGAAGGGGAUAACACUUGGAAACAGGUGCUAAUACCGUAUAACAAUCGAAACCGCAUGGUUUUGAUUUGAAAGGCGCUUUCGGGUGUCGCUGAUGGAUGGACCCGCGGUGCAUUAGCUAGUUGGUGAGGUAACGGCUCACCAAGGCCACGAUGCAUAGCCGACCUGAGAGGGUGAUCGGCCACAUUGGGACUGAGACACGGCCCAAACUCCUACGGGAGGCAGCAGUAGGGAAUCUUCGGCAAUGGACGAAAGUCUGACCGAGCAACGCCGCGUGAGUGAAGAAGGUUUUCGGAUCGUAAAACUCUGUUGUUAGAGAAGAACAAGGAUGAGAGUAACUGUUCAUCCCUUGACGGUAUCUAACCAGAAAGCCACGGCUAACUACGUGCCAGCAGCCGCGGUAAUACGUAGGUGGCAAGCGUUGUCCGGAUUUAUUGGGCGUAAAGCGAGCGCAGGCGGUUUCUUAAGUCUGAUGUGAAAGCCCCCGGCUCAACCGGGGAGGGUCAUUGGAAACUGGGAGACUUGAGUGCAGAAGAGGAGAGUGGAAUUCCAUGUGUAGCGGUGAAAUGCGUAGAUAUAUGGAGGAACACCAGUGGCGAAGGCGGCUCUCUGGUCUGUAACUGACGCUGAGGCUCGAAAGCGUGGGGAGCAAACAGGAUUAGAUACCCUGGUAGUCCACGCCGUAAACGAUGAGUGCUAAGUGUUGGAGGGUUUCCGCCCUUCAGUGCUGCAGCUAACGCAUUAAGCACUCCGCCUGGGGAGUACGACCGCAAGGUUGAAACUCAAAGGAAUUGACGGGGGCCCGCACAAGCGGUGGAGCAUGUGGUUUAAUUCGAAGCAACGCGAAGAACCUUACCAGGUCUUGACAUCCUUUGACCACUCUAGAGAUAGAGCUUCCCCUUCGGGGG
This 1007-nucleotide ribosomal RNA is filed under the name Enterococcus hirae. RNAcentral describes it as "bacterial SSU rRNA". It matches the Rfam family "Bacterial small subunit ribosomal RNA", at positions 49 to 1026 of the family's 1533-position model. Lineage: Bacteria; Bacillati; Bacillota; Bacilli; Lactobacillales; Enterococcaceae. The record is from RNAcentral.